CUGAAGAAGAAGACGAAGAAAAGGCUUAUCCUUUUACUUGUUUGGAUGGUUCCGGAUUUAAACGGAGUUCCUAAAUUCCGGUACCGAAACUGAUUUGAAGUCCGACAACGUCUCUUAAAUUAAUUCUGCAAAAGGCACGUGUUCUUUGGAGAUGGAUAAUUCGAAGAAAAAAAAGAAUAAAGAAAAUUAAAAAUAAAGAAAAAGAAAGCCAAGGUGGCUAAGAACUGGUGCUGCGUGCAUAUUGGGCGUUGAACUGUUUUGACGCAACGCAAGUAUAUGUUCCGUCUCCACGUGACUCUCCCAUCAUUGUGAAUGUGCCUUUUCUUUUCCUGAGCAACUGUGAAUGUGCCUUUUCCACACUGGUAUUUUUGUGUUUACGCUUACAAUUGGUUUUGUCUUUCUUAAUUUUGCUCCAACAGAUAAUAUAAUAUUGAUUAUGAAGUCCGGAUGAUUCUUCUAUUUGUUGGAAUCACCACCAUACUAUAA
Molecule: long non-coding RNA, 486 nt
Organism: Raphanus sativus (radish)
Lineage: Eukaryota; Viridiplantae; Streptophyta; Magnoliopsida; Brassicales; Brassicaceae
Exons: 2
Source: RefSeq, a predicted model, not a curated record